GUGGCCAUCUUACUGGGCAGCAUUGGAUGGUGUCUGGUCUCUAAUACUGCCUGGUAAUGAUGACGGC
This is a non-coding RNA of Otolemur garnettii (small-eared galago), 67 nucleotides long. NCBI's taxonomy places the organism in Eukaryota, Metazoa, Chordata, Mammalia, Primates, Galagidae. The record is from Rfam.